CCUACGGGAGGCAGCAGUGAGGAAUAUCGGUCAAUGGGCGAGAGCCUGAACCAGCCAAGUCGCGUGAGGGAGUACUGCCCUAUGGGUUGUAAACCUCUUUUGUCGGGGAGCAAAAGCCGGACGUGUCCGGCUGUGAGCGUACCCGAAGAAAAAGCAUCGGCUAACCCCGUGCCAGCAGCCGCGGUGAUUAGGAGGGUGCCAGCGUUAUCCGGAUUUAUUGGGUGUAACGGGCGUGGAGGCGGGAAUGCAAGUCAGAUGUGAAAAUUAUGGGGUCAACCCAUAGCCUGCAUUUGAAACUGUAUGUCUUGAGUGCUGGUGAGGCAAGCGGAAUUCGGGGUGUAGCGGUGAAAUGCGUAGAUAUACGGAGGAACACCAGUGGCGAAGGCGGAUUGCUGGACAGUAACUGACGCUGAGGCGCGAAAGCGUGGGGAGCAAACAGGAUUAGAUACCCCAGUAGUC
RNAcentral lists this ribosomal RNA (459 nucleotides) under uncultured bacterium. Its description in RNAcentral is "partial 16S ribosomal RNA". It matches the Rfam family "Bacterial small subunit ribosomal RNA", at positions 338 to 795 of the family's 1533-position model. The record is from RNAcentral.